UCCCGUGCUCGUCUAAGACACAAGCUCAAGUGCAAUGCAAACUGAUCUGGGCUGCUCUUAGCCUGCUCCAGAAAGUAGUUUUAACUGCUCCCAACCUGCUCCAAAACAGCGGUUUCAGCUGCUCCCGUGACUGCUCCCAAAUACAUUUCAUGAGUUCCACCCCUGUUCAUAUUUUGUGGGAAAGGUUUGGCGCCGGGUGUGAGACUGAUGAGUUUCCAGGGAGGCCUUGGCUCCGGAAUGGGAUUCACAAAUUGGAUCGGGACAUCCAAGUAUGUCGCAAUGGCUCGCUCUUCUUUGGUGUGCUGGAGUCGUGGAAGAUGGGCUUCCUUUUGUUGUUGUAGGAGAACUUUGAAUUCAGGGAGGUAGAUGCAGUUGUGCAGCAGUGUGCUGAGGUAGUCCAAGGAUUGCCCUCCUAGCAUCAUUCCACAGACUCUGUAGUUUUAAGUGGUGCACUUUGGUGAGCGGGAAGAAGUAUGUCGCGUAUGUUACGUUAGAUACCAAGACUGUAGUGACAAUAUUCUUGGCCACCCUUUUUCCGGCACCACCUAGCCUGUGCGAGAUCCUGCAUAGAAAAUUUAGUCCUUGUACGCAAGUAUGUAAGCAUAAAAAAUUAUUUUAUGCUUACGUCGCGCUUAAACAUUAAAUAUAUCUUUUGCCUCUUACAUCGUCGACAAAAUCUUAACAUUUUUUUAUAAAAGGCAUUCAUAAGGUAAAAAAAGAACAAUCCCACAGUUGCAGUGCCCAUUAAAUUCCAGUUAUGAAAAACGAGUAAGCCUUUCCUUUUGUCUAAUUACCUAACGAUAGUUUUCCUAAUGUGAAAUAUAUGCCAAAAAAUGGAACUAAGAAAAACGGGCUCAAUGUGCCCAAAUCUCUACCUUUUCUUUAGUAACUAUGCAGUGCAAACAAAUAAAACAAUCUGGGAAUACUCUCUAGGUGUUGGUGGAUGUAAGCAUGGCAUUUCUCAAAAUCUACAUUUUUCCAGAAAUUUGUUUUUUCUGGUAUGUGUCCCCGAUUAAGUAAUGUGAGUUAACUUUUUCGAACAUUUUUAUUUUUUUUGUCCUGUACCGUUCUAAGACCUCACUCUAGCAGUUUGCUCAGUGGGGUACUUAUCGCUGAGUGUGUGUGUGUUCACCACAACACUUCCUUCUACCGGUUCGGACAUCGCUAUUUGAACAUUUCUCGCACAGCCCAGCAGGUUUUGCUAUAAAUUGGCACUGUACCCAUAUUGAAUGCUGUGUAAUGUCCCUUUGGGACUGCAUUGAUGAAAAGUGUGGAAAAUGUGAAACGUACUAGAAUGCUUAUACUCUGUUUUCACCUUCCUUCUUUGUACUGGUAUCUUCGCAAUCAUGUAUUUAUACGACACGUGCUUUGAGAUGUCACUUUAUGUUGUUUUAGGUGUUUUCUUGCUCCGUGUGCAUGUUCCUGGCAGUUGUUUCUUUGUUGCCUGGCUGUCUGCAUCGGAAUUGGGUGUCCUUGUAUGCUGGAAAAUUCUUUUUGCUUGUUUUUGUGUAAAACAGGUUAGUAUUUUGUUUCUCUGCUUCACUGAUGGCUAAUAUUCUUAUAUUUUUUAUUAGAAUGAGGAGGAUUGGUGAACCCAAGACUCUAUGAAUACUAACUCAGCCAUGAAUUUGCUUUGGUUACAGGGUCCUUUGAAUUGUUGCUUAAGGUGCAUUUAUUUUUGUAUUGUGUAACUAAUUUCAAAGCCUAUCUUUAUUGUAAUAAUUUUUCUUUUUACUUUUAUGUCGUUUGGCUUGAACAAAAUCUGCGGAUGAUAAAUAUGUAUUCAGACUUGCUUCUCCGUCUCUCAGAAAUAAAGGUCUGCAGUCAA
This is a long non-coding RNA of Ixodes scapularis (black-legged tick), 1828 nucleotides long. RefSeq lists it as uncharacterized. The transcript has 2 exons. Lineage: Eukaryota; Metazoa; Arthropoda; Arachnida; Ixodida; Ixodidae. The record is from RefSeq and is a predicted model, not a curated record.